Molecule: ribosomal RNA, 270 nt
Filed under: uncultured bacterium
Lineage: Bacteria
Description: partial 16S ribosomal RNA
Rfam family: Bacterial small subunit ribosomal RNA
Source: RNAcentral
AACGAACGCUGGCGGCAGGCCUAACACAUGCAAGUCGAACGCCCCGCAAGGGGAGUGGCAGACGGGUGAGUAACGCGUGGGAAUUCCCCCCUUGGUACGGAAUAACUCGGGGAAACUCGAGCUAAUACCGUAUGAUCCGGUAACGGCAAAGAUUUAUCGCCGAGGGAGAAGCCCGCGUUGGAUUAGCUAGUUGGUGAGGUAAUGGCUCACCAAGGCUACGAUCCAUAGCUGGUCUGAGAGGAUGAUCAGCCACACUGGGACUGAGACACG